RNAcentral lists this non-coding RNA (88 nucleotides) under unclassified sequences. The record is from RNAcentral.
AUAAAACUGCCACCGGGUAGAAAUGCUGAAAGCAUUUGUUCACACAUCGUUAGGUCUUAGAAGAUGUGUGUGCAGAUGCUUUAUUUUU